Molecule: ribosomal RNA, 253 nt
Filed under: uncultured bacterium
Lineage: Bacteria
Description: partial 16S ribosomal RNA
Rfam family: Bacterial small subunit ribosomal RNA
Source: RNAcentral
UACAGAGGGUGCAAGCGUUGUUCGGAAUUAUUGGGCGUAAAGCGCGUGUAGGCGGCUUUGCAAGUCGGGUGUGAAAGCCCUCAGCUUAACUGAGGAAGUGCGCCCGAAACUGCUUGGCUUGAGUACCGGAGAGGAUGGCGGAAUUCCCCAAGUAGAGGUGAGAUUCGUAGAUAUGGGGAGGAACACCGGUGGCGAAGGCGGCCAUCUGGACGGAUACUGACGCUGAGACGCGAAAGCGUGGGUAGCAAACAGG